Molecule: ribosomal RNA, 546 nt
Filed under: uncultured Glomus
Lineage: Eukaryota; Fungi; Glomeromycota; Glomeromycetes; Glomerales; Glomeraceae
Description: SSU rRNA
Rfam family: Eukaryotic small subunit ribosomal RNA
Source: RNAcentral
UUGGAGGGCAAGUCUGGUGCCAGCAGCCGCGGUAAUUCCAGCUCCAAUAGCGUAUAUUAAAGUUGUUGCAGUUAAAAAGCUCGUAGUUGAAUUUCGGGAUUAGUACGUCGGUCGUGCCUUAGGUACGUACUGGUGUUACUGGUUCCUACCUUCUGACGAACCAUCAUGUCAUUAAUUUGGUGUGGUGGGGAAUCAGGACUGUUACUUUGAAAAAAUUAGAGUGUUUAAAGCAGGCUCGCGCUUGAAUACAUUAGCAUGGAAUAAUGAAAUAGGACGUUGAUCCUAUUUUGUUGGUUUCUAGGAUUGACGUAAUGAUUAAUAGGGAUAGUUGGGGGCAUUAGUAUUCAAUUGUCAGAGGUGAAAUUCUUGGAUUUAUUGAAGACUAACUACUGUGAAAGCAUUUGCCAAGGAUGUUUUCAUUAAUCAAGAACGAAAGUUAGGGGAUCGAAGACGAUCAGAUACCGUCGUAGUCUUAACCAUAAACUAUGCCGACUAGGGAUCGGAUGAUGUUAUUUUUAAUGACUCAUUCGGCGCCUUACGGGAAAC